AUCUCUCAAUCUCUCUCCCUCUCUCGAUCUCUCAAUCUCUCAAUCUCUCUCUCACACACUAUCUCGCUCUCUUUGUAUUUGCGUACACAUUAUCUACUCUCUCUCUGCAAUUUGCGCGAUUCGUCGCAGAGAAACCCUAAGUCUACCAUGGAAAAGUUCUCUCGGAGCACUCAAAUGCAGCAGAUUGGUUUGAGAAAAUCAUCGUAAAACUUUGUGGCUAUUGCUAGUGGUGAUGCCUCUGAGGCCUUUAUACAAGCAUUACAAGAGAAGAAAAUACACAAUUGGAAUAGGUUGUCUGCCAUGGCUGUUGAACAGAUUGUAAUGACAGAGUGAUCCAUUCUACAGGU
This is a non-coding RNA of Camellia sinensis, 347 nucleotides long. Lineage: Eukaryota; Viridiplantae; Streptophyta; Magnoliopsida; Ericales; Theaceae. The record is from RefSeq and is a predicted model, not a curated record.